This 325-nucleotide long non-coding RNA is filed under the name Trifolium pratense (red clover). Its description in RNAcentral is "long non-coding RNA (TPRA_LNC010489)". Lineage: Eukaryota; Viridiplantae; Streptophyta; Magnoliopsida; Fabales; Fabaceae. The record is from RNAcentral.
UGGAACUUAAUAGUUAUAAAUAGUACUAGUAAGUUCAAAUUUAUCUAACUUUGACGUCAAACGACCACAAAUAUGGCUAGAAGAAGGAACAAUAACCAAAACAACGACAACAAUUCAAAUGAGGAUGAACCAAAAGUUAACAUGCCUUAUAAUGAUUAAGUUUCACGUAAUGAUUUGACUUCUAACCCUGUCGUUAGCCAAAUACAAUCAGGUCUAAUAGUAAAUUCUCCAAAUCGAAGAACAAAUGCCAAUAUACCACCUUUUGGUUUACCCACAAGCUUUGUUCCUUCAACAUAACUCACAUUCACUGCACCAGCAGAGAUUG